RNAcentral lists this transfer RNA (75 nucleotides) under Rubrivivax sp. Its description in RNAcentral is "tRNA-Thr". It matches the Rfam family "tRNA". From Rfam's summary of the family: Transfer RNA (tRNA) molecules are approximately 80 nucleotides in length. Their secondary structure includes four short double-helical elements and three loops (D, anti-codon, and T loops). Further hydrogen bonds mediate the characteristic L-shaped molecular structure. tRNAs have two regions of fundamental functional importance: the anti-codon, which is responsible for specific mRNA codon recognition, and the 3' end, to which the tRNAs corresponding amino acid is attached (by aminoacyl-tRNA synthetases). tRNAs cope with the degeneracy of the genetic code in two manners: having more than one tRNA (with a specific anti-codon) for a particular amino acid; and 'wobble' base-pairing, i.e. permitting non-standard base-pairing at the 3rd anti-codon position. Lineage: Bacteria; Pseudomonadati; Pseudomonadota; Betaproteobacteria; Burkholderiales; Sphaerotilaceae. The record is from RNAcentral.
GCCCAUGUGGCUCAGUGGUAGAGCACUCCCUUGGUACGGGAGAGGUCGGAAGUUCGAUUCUUCUCAGGGGCACCA